UGCCAUCGCUAAGUCAAGUCUACUUCUGUGACCUUGUGUCACGCUUUCUCAAUGGAAGUAUUGUCUGUUACAGCUUUGGCAGAUUAACGCUGGUCCGUGCCGAAUUUCAUUCUGAAGCUAGGCUGAUCAGCUUUCGUUUUGAAAGCUGGUCGUUAAGGACUGGGCAGUGUUCUGUUUUUGAGUUGAGUACUGCUUCGCCAUCGGCGUCUUCAUAGCAGAGCUCUUAGUAACAUUUCACACAUCG
Aspergillus nidulans FGSC A4 is the source of this 244-nucleotide small nucleolar RNA. It matches the Rfam family "Small nucleolar RNA snR191". The record is from Rfam. Lineage: Eukaryota; Fungi; Ascomycota; Eurotiomycetes; Eurotiales; Aspergillaceae.